GAUGAACGCUGGCGGCGUGCCUAAUACAUGCAAGUCGAGCGAACAGACGAGGAGCUUGCUCCUCUGACGUUAGCGGCGGACGGGUGAGUAACACGUGGAUAACCUACCUAUAAGACUGGGAUAACUUCGGGAAACCGGAGCUAAUACCGGAUAAUAUAUUGAGCGCAUGGUUCAAUAGUGAAAGACGGUUUUGCUGUCACUUAUAGAUGGAUCCGCGCCGCAUUAGCUAGUUGGUAAGGUAACGGCUUACCAAGGCGACGAUGCGUAGCCGACCUGAGAGGGUGAUCGGCCACACUGGAACUGAGACACGGUCCAGACUCCUACGGGAGGCAGCAGUAGGGAAUCUUCCGCAAUGGGCGAAAGCCUGACGGAGCAACGCCGCGUGAGUGAUGAAGGUCUUCGGAUCGUAAAACUCUGUUAUUAGGGAAGAACAAAUGUGUAAGUAACUAUGCACGUCUUGACGGUACCUAAUCAGAAAGCCACGGCUAACUACGU
This 495-nucleotide ribosomal RNA is filed under the name uncultured bacterium. RNAcentral's name for it is "partial 16S ribosomal RNA". It matches the Rfam family "Bacterial small subunit ribosomal RNA", at positions 28 to 506 of the family's 1533-position model. The record is from RNAcentral.